GUAAUGGCGAACGAACAGGGAUCAGCUUGGGUUGGAAACCGGGGCUUCUGCCUUGGAUUGUGGCCUUUACACAUACUACCAACGGCGGCGCKAGCGUAAGCCUCUUGGAACAGAGCGUCUACGUGGGUGAGAAUCCUGUGUUUCGCUUGAUGCCCGCCGUGCACGGUACUUGCUCUCAGAGUCACGCUCCUCGGAAUUGGAGCGUAAAUUGGGUGGUAAAUUUCAUCUAAAGCUAAAUACAGGCUCGAGACCGAUAGCAAACAAGUACCAUGAGGGAAAGAUGAAAAGGACUUUGAAAAGAGAGUUAAAAGUGCUUGAAAUCGCUGAACUGGAAGCGAAUGGAACUAGUGCUCUGGUUGAGAGUGCUGUAAAUGGCUGCGACAUCUGGGCUCUGGAACGCAAGUCCUUUGUCUGGCUUGAAGUAGUCGCUUGCAAUGUGUCUCAGCUUGAACAUCAACUUCUAUGCAUACGUGAGGAUGGCCCUUGGCUCAUGCUGUGUUGCUGUGGCGAUACUCUUGUGCUUCUGGGGAUUCAGGUGUGUGUGGAUUGUUGAUCAAUUAGUUCCAUUCGACCCGUCUUGAAACACGGACCAAGGAGUCUAGCACUUGUGCAAGUUNUCAGGUGUCAAACCUCUGUGCGCAAUGAAGGUGACUGCUGGGAUUUUUUGCACCAGCAACCGACCAAUCAAUUGGGAGAAGUUUGAGUAAGAGCAUGUGUGUUAGGACCCGAAA
This 731-nucleotide ribosomal RNA is filed under the name Symbiodinium sp. RNAcentral's name for it is "LSU rRNA". It matches the Rfam family "Eukaryotic large subunit ribosomal RNA", at positions 83 to 821 of the family's 3401-position model. The record is from RNAcentral. Lineage: Eukaryota; Dinophyceae; Suessiales; Symbiodiniaceae.